AGCAGGGACGAAAGUCGGGACUAGUGAUCCGGCGGUGGCUUGUGGAAGCGCCGUCGCUCAACGGAUAAAAGGUACCCCGGGGAUAACAGGCUGAUCUUCCCCAAGAGUCCAUAUCGACGGGAUGGUUUGGCACCUCGAUGUCGGCUCGUCGCAUCCUGGGGCUGGAGUCGGUCCCAAGGGUUGGGCUGUUCGCCCAUUAAAGCGGUACGCGAGCUGGGUUUAGAACGUCGUGAGACAGUUCGGUCCCUAUCCGCUGUGCGCGUAGGAAUAUUGAGAAGGGCUGUCCCUAGUACGAGAGGACCGGGACGGACGAACCUCUGGUGUGCCAGUUGUCCUGCCAAGGGCAUGGCUGGUUGGCUACGUUCGGGAGGGAUAACCGCUGAAAGCAUCUAAGCGGGAAGCCUGCUUCAAGAUGAGUAUUCCCACCUCCUUGAGAGGGUAAGGCUCCCAGUAGACGACUGGGUUGAUAGGCCAGAUGUGGAAGCCCGGUAACGGGUGGAGCUGACUGGUACUAAUAGGCCGAGGGCUUGUCCUCAGUUG
RNAcentral lists this ribosomal RNA (540 nucleotides) under Streptomyces sp. RSD-27. RNAcentral describes it as "bacterial LSU rRNA". It matches the Rfam family "Bacterial large subunit ribosomal RNA", at positions 2392 to 2925 of the family's 2925-position model. The record is from RNAcentral. Lineage: Bacteria; Bacillati; Actinomycetota; Actinomycetes; Kitasatosporales; Streptomycetaceae.